UGGCCAGACUCCUACGGGAGGCAGCAGUGGGGAAUAUUGCACAAUGGGGGGAACCCUGAUGCAGCGACGCCGCGUGGGCGAGGAAGUAUUUCGGUAUGUAAAGCCCUAUCGGCAGGGAAGAAGAAAUGACGGUACCUGAAUAAGAAGCACCGGCUAAAUACGUGCCAGCAGCCGCGGUAAUACGUAUGGUGCAAGCGUUAUCCGGAUUUACUGGGCGUAAAGGGAGCGCAGGCGGCGCGCCAAGUCUGAUGUGAAGCCCCGGGGCUCAACCCCGGGCAUGCAUUGGAAACUGGCGGGCUGGAGUGCCGGAGAGGUAAGCGGAAUUCCUAGUGUAGCGGUGAAAUGCGUAGAUAUACGGAGGAACACCAGUGGCGAAGGCGGCCUGCUGGACAUUAACUGACGCUGAGGCGCGAAAGCGUGGGGAGCAAACAGGAUUAGAUACCCCUGUAC
This 450-nucleotide ribosomal RNA is filed under the name uncultured bacterium. Its description in RNAcentral is "partial 16S ribosomal RNA". It matches the Rfam family "Bacterial small subunit ribosomal RNA", at positions 328 to 793 of the family's 1533-position model. The record is from RNAcentral.